This 1221-nucleotide long non-coding RNA is filed under the name Dermacentor andersoni. Its description in RNAcentral is "uncharacterized LOC126533763". The record is from RNAcentral. Lineage: Eukaryota; Metazoa; Arthropoda; Arachnida; Ixodida; Ixodidae.
GCCGGAGGCCGUUGUGACGCUGCCCCCUGACGCGCCACUUCGGCAAAGCUUUUCUUUGGCAGGAUGGGCACGACCGUGAGUACGCGGCGUGAUCCCCAUCACAGUUUACACAGUGUAGAGAGUUCUUACAUUCUUCAGUUGCGUGUUCAAGGGCACUGCAUUUGGCGCAUGUUUGGCGGCCUCGGCAGCUCUGCGAGCUGUGGCCAAAACGUUGGCAUUUGAAACAUCUCAAGGGAUUUGGCACAUACGGGCGUACACGAAGCUUGAUGUACCCGGCCUCGAUUGACUCGGGCAGGACACUUGAAUUGAAGGUGAGUAUUAGGUGUUUGGUCGGAAUUUCUUUACCGUCUCGCCUUAUCUUGAUCCUUUUGACAUUUAUGACAUUCUGUUCGCUGAAGCCCUCCAAGAGCUCAGCCUCAGAGAGCUCCAGCAAAUCAUCGUCCGAGACAACGCCGCGGGAAGUAUUCAUCGUGCGGUGCGGGGUUACUACUACUUGGGUCUCCCCAAAUGAUACUAGCUGAGGCAGUUUUUCAAAUUGCUUCUGAUCGCGGAGCUCCAGGAGGAGGUCUCCGCUAGCCAUCCUCGACACCUUAUAUCCUGGACCAAAAACUUCGAGUGGAUCACGUGAAAACGAGGGAAGGAUUCUUUUUGUCGACCAAAAAACUGGAAUAAAUCAUCGGUGCGCCCUCUUUUCUGAGGGCGAUCAGGAAGUGGAGGGAAGGAUGUUGCCAUAAAGGAAUUGAAUUUUCGGCAAUAACGCCAGCCACCCACCAUGGAGUCCUACAAGGGGACGCUACAGAGACUGUAAGAACAGGUCCUGUAAACGCCAGCUGUACGUCAUCACUAUAACCAAAUAUGAAAUAACCUAGGUUGGUUAAUCACACAAGGUUAACCCUUGCUGCCUGGAAACUAUGGAAGUAAGCGGAAGGAAGGAGAAGACAGGAAAGAUGAAAAGUGAGAGAAAGACGAAGGCUGGAGGGAGAGAGAGACAGGAAUAGGCAACUACCGAUUUCCCCCGGGUGGGUCAGUCCGGGGGGGCCGUCUAUGUGAAGCAGAGGCCAAAGGGGUGUGUUGCGUCCGCCGGGGGGCCUUAAAGGUCCAGACACCCAGCAUCGGCUCAACCCCCAGGAUCCCCCUUUCCCCAGACACGGCUAAGCCGCGCACGGCUACACGCGGGAGGGUCCAACCCUCGUGUGCUCGGGUCCGUGGUGUCGCAACACA